GAGGAUUUGUCCCAUUGUUGUUGUUGUUGUUGUUGUUGUUGACUUGGGCCGGUCAAUCCUAUAAUUAUACAUGUGAAGAAGUGAACUAUAUGUAUAUCUGCAUCAUCUAAAGAAGCAACAAAGAAAACAAUGAAAAAAUAUCAAAUUGACGUUGUUACCGUAGGGCGAAGUUUGUUUUUGUUUGGUUCUGAAUCUUCUUCAUUCUUCAAAACAUAACAUAUCUUCAAUCUGCACAAAAAAUAUAAAAUUAGAUAAGCUUUGUUAAAACAACAGUGUAAACGAAACCAAAUUCAAGGAUGCGGACAAGAUAUUGUUACUGUAAGAACACGUCGACGACCUUUUUGUGUUCUGAAUCUACUUGGUACUUCCUUGAAAAAAUCUGAGUCAUCGUCCUAGUUGGAACACGAACACAAACACACAUACACACACCUGUUUCGUUUCAUCCAAGAAAGAAACAACAAACGCAUUAAUUAAGAUCCAAUAUACAAAAACAAACUCUUAUUUCAAAGGCAAAACAUCAACACCACCUUUUGUUCUGAAUCUUCUUCAUUCUUCAAACCAUAUCAUAUCUG
RNAcentral lists this long non-coding RNA (572 nucleotides) under Capsella grandiflora. RNAcentral describes it as "long non-coding RNA (CGRA_LNC001109)". The record is from RNAcentral. Lineage: Eukaryota; Viridiplantae; Streptophyta; Magnoliopsida; Brassicales; Brassicaceae.